This 407-nucleotide ribosomal RNA is filed under the name uncultured bacterium. Its description in RNAcentral is "partial 16S ribosomal RNA". It matches the Rfam family "Bacterial small subunit ribosomal RNA", at positions 28 to 526 of the family's 1533-position model. The record is from RNAcentral.
GACGAACGCUGGCGGCGUGCCUAAUACAUGCAAGUAGAACGCAGUUGCGAACGGGUAAGUAACGCGUAGGUAACUGCCUGGUAGCGGGGGAUAACUAUUGGAAUCGAUAGAUAAUACCGCAUCCUACCAGAUGGACCUGCGUUGUAUUAGCUAGUUGGUGGGGUAACGGCUCACCAAGGCCACGAUACAUAGCCGACCUGAGAGGGUGAGCGGGCACACUGGGACUGAGAAAAGGCCCAGACUCCUACGGGAGGCAGCAGUAGGGAAUCAUCGGCAAUGGACGGAAGUCUGACCGAGCAACGGCGCGUGAGUGAAGAAGGGUUUCGGAGCGUAAAGCUCUGUUGUAAGAGAAGCGUUAUCUUACCAGAAAGGGACGGCUAACUACGUGCCAGCAACCGCGGUAAUUC